Molecule: small nuclear RNA, 102 nt
Organism: Phoenix dactylifera (date palm)
Lineage: Eukaryota; Viridiplantae; Streptophyta; Magnoliopsida; Arecales; Arecaceae
Source: RefSeq, a predicted model, not a curated record
AGGAAUUCACCCAAACCGAUAAAAUUGGAACGAUAUAGAGAAGAUUAACAUGGCUCCUGCGCAAGAAUGAUGCACAUAAAUCAAGAAAUAGAUUUGAACCCU